UUAAGCAUAUCAAUAAGCGGAGGAAAAGAAACCAACAGGGAUUGCCCUAGUAACGGCGAGUGAAGCGGCAACAGCUCAAAUUUGAAAUCUGGCCCCCCCGGCCCGAGUUGUAAUUUGUAGAGGAUGCUUCUGGGUAGCGACCGGUCUAAGUUCCUUGGAACAGGACGUCAUAGAGGGUGAGAAUCCCGUAUGUGACUGGCCCGCGCCCUCCACGUAGCUCCUUCGACGAGUCGAGUUGUUUGGGAAUGCAGCUCUAAAUGGGAGGUAAAUUUCUUCUAAAGCUAAAUACCGGCCUGAGACCGAUAGCGCACAAGUAGAGUGAUCGAAAGAUGAAAAGCACUUUGGAAAGAGAGUUAAAAAGCACGUGAAAUUGUUGAAAGGGAAGCGCUUACAACCAGACUUUGGGGCGGUGUUCCGCCGGUCUUCUGACCGGUCUACUCUCCGUCCCGAGGCCAACAUCAUCUGGGACCGCCGGAUAAGACCCGAGGAAUGUAGCUCCCCCUCGGGGGAGUGUUAUAGCCUCGGAUGAUGCGGCGCGUCCCGGGUGAGGUCCGCGCUUCGGCAAGGAUGUUGGCGUAAUGGUUGUCAGCGGCCCGUCUUGAAACACGGACCAAGGAGUCUAACAUCUAUGCGAGUGUUCGGGUGUCAAACCCCUACGCGGAAUGAAAGUGAACGGAGGUGGGAAGGGUAACCUGCACCAUCGACCGAUCCUGAUGUCCUCGGAUGGAUUUGAGUAAGAGCAUAGCUGUUGGGACCCGAAAGAUGGUGAACUAUGCCUGAAUAGGGUGAAGCCAGAGGAAACUCUGGUGGAGGCUCGCAGCGGUUCUGACGUGCAAAUCGAUCGUCAAAUUUGGGUAUAGGGGCGAAAGACUAAUCGAACCAUCUAGUAGCUGGUUCCUG
RNAcentral lists this ribosomal RNA (900 nucleotides) under Zymoseptoria halophila. RNAcentral's name for it is "LSU rRNA". It matches the Rfam family "Eukaryotic large subunit ribosomal RNA", at positions 34 to 960 of the family's 3401-position model. Lineage: Eukaryota; Fungi; Ascomycota; Dothideomycetes; Mycosphaerellales; Mycosphaerellaceae. The record is from RNAcentral.